CAGUCGCCACGGUAAUACGUAGGGUGCGAGCGUUAAUCGGAAUUACUGGGCGUAAAGCGUGCGCAGGCGGUUCGUUAAGACAGAUGUGAAAUCCCCGGGCUUAACCUGGGAACUGCAUUUGUGACUGACGGGCUAGAGUAUGGCAGAGGGGGGUAGAAUUCCACGUGUAGCAGUGAAAUGCGUAGAGAUGUGGAGGAAUACCGAUGGCGAAGGCAGCCCCCUGGGCCAAUACUGACGCUCAUGCACGAAAGCGUGGGGAGCAAACAGGAUUAGAUACCCGCGUAGUCCCUGUCUCUUAUAC
This 301-nucleotide ribosomal RNA is filed under the name uncultured bacterium. RNAcentral's name for it is "partial 16S ribosomal RNA". It matches the Rfam family "Bacterial small subunit ribosomal RNA", at positions 509 to 807 of the family's 1533-position model. The record is from RNAcentral.